RNAcentral lists this transfer RNA (63 nucleotides) under Glycera fallax. RNAcentral's name for it is "tRNA-Val". The record is from RNAcentral. Lineage: Eukaryota; Metazoa; Annelida; Polychaeta; Phyllodocida; Glyceridae.
CGGAAUAAAGCAUUCAAUGCAUUUCACUUACGAUGAAAAGAAAAUGUUACUCAUUUAUUCUGA